GAUGAACGCUGGCGGCGUGCCUAAUACAUGCAAGUCGAGCGAACAGAUGAGGAGCUUGCUCCUCUGACGUUAGCGGCGGACGGGUGAGUAGCACGUGGAUAACCUACCUAUAAGACUGGGAUAACUUCGGGAAACCGGAGCUAAUACCGGAUAAUAUAUUGAACCGCAUGGUUCAAUAGUGAAAGACGGUUUUGCUGUCACUUAUAGAUGGAUCCGCGCCGCAUUAGCUAGUUGGUAAGGUAACGGCUUACCAAGGCAACGAUGCGUAGCCGACCUGAGAGGGUGAUCGGCCACACUGGAACUGAGACACGGUCCAGACUCCUACGGGAGGCAGCAGUAGGGAAUCUUCCGCAAUGGGCGAAAGCCUGACGGAGCAACGCCGCGUGAGUGAUGAAGGUCUUCGGAUCGUAAAACUCUGUUAUUAGGGAAGAACAAAUGUGUAAGUAACUAUGCACGUCUUGACGGUACCUAAUCAGAAAGCCCCGGCUAACUACGUG
RNAcentral lists this ribosomal RNA (497 nucleotides) under uncultured bacterium. Its description in RNAcentral is "partial 16S ribosomal RNA". It matches the Rfam family "Bacterial small subunit ribosomal RNA", at positions 28 to 507 of the family's 1533-position model. The record is from RNAcentral.